UGGUGGAGUGAUUUGUCUGGUUAAUUCCGUUAACGAACGAGACCCCUGCCUGCUAAAUAGUCCAAUGAGUAUUUUUUUUACUGAUUGAUGACUGCUUAGAGGGACGGUGCAUUCUAUUAGAUGCAGGAAGAUAGGGGCGAAUAACA
This 146-nucleotide ribosomal RNA is filed under the name uncultured eukaryote. RNAcentral's name for it is "partial 18S ribosomal RNA". It matches the Rfam family "Eukaryotic small subunit ribosomal RNA", at positions 1299 to 1453 of the family's 1831-position model. The record is from RNAcentral.